This 880-nucleotide ribosomal RNA is filed under the name Escherichia coli. RNAcentral's name for it is "partial 23S ribosomal RNA". It matches the Rfam family "Bacterial large subunit ribosomal RNA", at positions 660 to 1540 of the family's 2925-position model. Lineage: Bacteria; Pseudomonadati; Pseudomonadota; Gammaproteobacteria; Enterobacterales; Enterobacteriaceae. The record is from RNAcentral.
GGGGAGCCGAAGGGAAACCGAGUCUUAACUGGGCGUUAAGUUGCAGGGUAUAGACCCGAAACCCGGUGAUCUAGCCAUGGGCAGGUUGAAGGUUGGGUAACACUAACUGGAGGACCGAACCGACUAAUGUUGAAAAAUUAGCGGAUGACUUGUGGCUGGGGGUGAAAGGCCAAUCAAACCGGGAGAUAGCUGGUUCUCCCCGAAAGCUAUUUAGGUAGCGCCUCGUGAAUUCAUCUCCGGGGGUAGAGCACUGUUUCGGCAAGGGGGUCAUCCCGACUUACCAACCCGAUGCAAACUGCGAAUACCGGAGAAUGUUAUCACGGGAGACACACGGCGGGUGCUAACGUCCGUCGUGAAGAGGGAAACAACCCAGACCGCCAGCUAAGGUCCCAAAGUCAUGGUUAAGUGGGAAACGAUGUGGGAAGGCCCAGACAGCCAGGAUGUUGGCUUAGAAGCAGCCAUCAUUUAAAGAAAGCGUAAUAGCUCACUGGUCGAGUCGGCCUGCGCGGAAGAUGUAACGGGGCUAAACCAUGCACCGAAGCUGCGGCAGCGACGCUGAUGCGUUGUUGGGUAGGGGAGCGUUCUGUAAGCCUGUGAAGGUGUGCUGUGAGGCAUGCUGGAGGUAUCAGAAGUGCGAAUGCUGACAUAAGUAACGAUAAAGCGGGUGAAAAGCCCGCUCGCCGGAAGACCAAGGGUUCCUGUCCAACGUUAAUCGGGGCAGGGUGAGUCGACCCCUAAGGCGAGGCCGAAAGGCGUAGUCGAUGGGAAACAGGUUAAUAUUCCUGUACUUGGUGUUACUGCGAAGGGGGGACGGAGAAGGCUAUGUUGGCCGGGCGACGGUUGUCCCGGUUUAAGCGUGUAGGCUGGUUUUCCAGGCAAA